UACGGGGGGAGCAAGCGUUGUUCGGAUUUACUGGGCGUAAAGGGCGCGUAGGCGGCGCAACAAGUCACUUGUGAAAUCUCCGGGCUUAACCCGGAGCGGUCAAGUGAUACUGUCGUGCUAGAGUGCGGAAGGGGCUACUGGAAUUCUCGGUGUAGCGGUGAAAUGCGUAGAUAUUGGGAGGAACACCAGUGGCGAAGGCGGCUCACUGGACCGGUACUGACGCUGAUGCGCGAAAGCGUGGGGAGCAAACGGG
Molecule: ribosomal RNA, 253 nt
Filed under: uncultured bacterium
Lineage: Bacteria
Description: partial 16S ribosomal RNA
Rfam family: Bacterial small subunit ribosomal RNA
Source: RNAcentral